Molecule: long non-coding RNA, 410 nt
Organism: Camelina sativa (false flax)
Lineage: Eukaryota; Viridiplantae; Streptophyta; Magnoliopsida; Brassicales; Brassicaceae
Source: RefSeq, a predicted model, not a curated record
CUGCUCUAUAACACCCACAUAUGAGUCAAACCUCUCUUGCAAGGAGCACAAUAUCUUGGAGACAAUCAUGCUCUCAGGUUGUAAAAGUUGGCCCUUAGUCUCUGCAGCAUUAUCAUGGAACCUUUUGAGUCUCCUUGAAACCUCAGCUUCAACACUUCCCAUGCUUCUCUUGACGUUUCAGUCACCGACAGGUGUAGCUAGCUUAUGUGAUUCUGGAAUUCCCUUAGUUACUAUCUUCCACAACCCCUUAGACUUAAGGAUUACCUUCAUCUUAAUGACCCAUAAGCUAUAGUUGUUCCCAUCACACACUGGAACCACUAAUCUUCAAGCUUCAAGGCCACCAAGACCAUCUAACUCUUCUACCAUGUUGAUUUGUGCUUGAAGGAGUCUUAGCCGCUUAGAAAACUUAC